GAAACUCAUAGAAAAAGGCUGCUAGCAAGCCUGUUUCUGUCAUAGCUCCAUGCUAUGUCAUCGUUUCCCCCGUCCACCCCGGAAUAGCUGGAUCCUGGCACCAAGCAGCUAGGCCACGUUGGUGGAGGGGGAGGCAGAAGUGGAGCAGCUGCUGCAGUAGUGCCAGAUCCUGUAGCUGGGAGAGUUCCCACCGCUGCAAUGCCGGAUCUCGCGACACUUGGCUCAUCAUGAGACUUUUCCCAAUCCAACGCAAUGCGCCAAUCCCAAAGUUGCAUCCACCUCCCACUGCCUCACACCCUUUCCCUAGGAGAGAGAAAGGGAGCCAUGCACUGCAGCUGCCAGGAGUGGAUUGUGUGCGCACCGUAAUGGAGAUGAGUCAGCGGAUCUCCUUGAAAUAGGCUCUCCGGACCUCCACAAAUGAUCGCCGCUGCUUGACUUUCAACCGCCGUUGCUCGAUCUCGCUUUGUGGGGCAUAGCUGCAGGGAGGGGUUGGAGGAGCGGACAGGAUCUUGAGGGGACCGCUAUGGGAAUGGUUGUCGGAUGCUCUGGAAAGAGAGAGAAUGGUGACUGCCUUCGAAGAUCGCUCAGACGGAGGUGACUAGAGGGUGCAUCAGAGGGUGGGAGUUGAGAUAGGAAUCUCUCAUUGUUUUAUAUAUAUACUAUGAGUUUGUAGUGGACAUAGAUGUUGGUCAGUGGCGCUAGCGAUAACGGGCUAUGCUCAAAUAAUAGAGAUGGGCC
Molecule: long non-coding RNA, 738 nt
Filed under: Sorghum bicolor (sorghum)
Lineage: Eukaryota; Viridiplantae; Streptophyta; Magnoliopsida; Poales; Poaceae
Description: long non-coding RNA (SBIC_LNC002142)
Source: RNAcentral